This 71-nucleotide transfer RNA is filed under the name Marmota monax (woodchuck). It matches the Rfam family "tRNA". Rfam says of the family: Transfer RNA (tRNA) molecules are approximately 80 nucleotides in length. Their secondary structure includes four short double-helical elements and three loops (D, anti-codon, and T loops). Lineage: Eukaryota; Metazoa; Chordata; Mammalia; Rodentia; Sciuridae. The record is from Rfam by way of RNAcentral.
GGGGUUACGGCUCAGAGGUAGAGCACUCACCUCACAUGUGGGAGGCCCUUGGUUCGAUCCUCAUCACCCCA